GGUGAGAUGGCAGAGUGGCCUAAUGCACUUCCCUGCUAAGGAAGAGUACCCCCUGGGUACCGAGGGUUCAAAUCCCUCUCUCACCGCCA
This 89-nucleotide transfer RNA is filed under the name Fusobacterium equinum. RNAcentral describes it as "tRNA-Ser". It matches the Rfam family "tRNA". Rfam says of the family: Transfer RNA (tRNA) molecules are approximately 80 nucleotides in length. Their secondary structure includes four short double-helical elements and three loops (D, anti-codon, and T loops). Further hydrogen bonds mediate the characteristic L-shaped molecular structure. tRNAs have two regions of fundamental functional importance: the anti-codon, which is responsible for specific mRNA codon recognition, and the 3' end, to which the tRNAs corresponding amino acid is attached (by aminoacyl-tRNA synthetases). tRNAs cope with the degeneracy of the genetic code in two manners: having more than one tRNA (with a specific anti-codon) for a particular amino acid; and 'wobble' base-pairing, i.e. permitting non-standard base-pairing at the 3rd anti-codon position. RNAcentral also lists the same sequence under 2 other names. Lineage: Bacteria; Fusobacteriati; Fusobacteriota; Fusobacteriia; Fusobacteriales; Fusobacteriaceae. The record is from RNAcentral.